GGUGUGUGCCGCGCGCGGGAAACGCCGUUCUCCGCUCCAGGCGUCGGCGGGCGGUGGCGAGAGCAGAUUUUAUAGGUUCAGAAAGUGUGUCUCAGAGGAGUUAGAGAAGACCGAUUAAUAGAUGACAGUGCUAAAGCCUGGAUCUCCUGAAUCCUGGUUCUGGGAUACAUGUGCAGAAUGUGCAGGUUUGUUAAUAGGCAUACGUGUGCCAUGGUGGUUUGCUGCCCCUUCAACCCGUCAUCUAGAUUUUAAGCCCCGCAUGCAUUAGUUUGGGGGAAGUUCUAUGAAAUCUAAGUUGAUGAACAUUAUUCCCCCUGCUGAUACCAAAAGUCCUGACUUGUAAGGAGGACAAAGCUGAGAUGAAAGUGUCCUAAGUUAGAUUCCUGGGAAGAAAAUUCUGAGACACAUUCUGCAGGAUGAUUAUUAGGGCUCAUCCUUGGUUUCAACACCCAUAGAAGGAAGGGGGAAGAAGAAAUCGAACAGAGAGACAGAAGUCGAGAUGCAUUUCAGGCCAGGACUCUUGGCUGAACCCACAGGAGCUCUGGAGCUAGAAUGGCCCUUCAGAGUUGUCCUGAGUUGGUCUGAGAUGGCCAGUUCUUUAUAUUCCUGCAUGGGAUAGUCACUGGAUGUCCACCCCAGGAAGGGGUGUGGCCAAGACAGUCCCUAAAAUGCCCGCCAGCACUCCCUACACCUGGAGCGACAAGACCAACAUCACAGGGGGAAUGCACUGGGUGAUGGAUCACAGCGUUCAUCCCAGAAGAUGAGGAUACAGAAUUGGCUGACAACUACGUUCUAAAUGUCAGUGUUCUCCAAAAUUCAUAUGUUGAAACUUAAUUCCCAAUGUGAUGGCAUUAGGAAGUGGGGCCUUUGGGGGAGGGACUAUAGGUCAUGAGGGUGUAACCCUCAUCAAUGGGAUUAGUGUCCAGAGAGCUGCCUUGCCCUUCCACCAUGUGAGGACAUAGUGAGAAGGUGCCAUCUAUGAACUAGGAAGUGGGCGCUUACCACCAGACACCCACUCUUCUGGCAACUUGAUCUUGAAUUUCCCAGCCUCCAGAACUCUGAGAAAUCAAUUUCUGUUAAUUAUAAGCUACCCAGUCGAUAGCAUUUUGUUAAAGCUGCUGGAACUAAACUAAGACACUGACGCUUUCUGCGACAAAAAGAUAGAGUGAGUCUCUAUAGCAUACCAUGUAACAGAUGUUUUUGGAAAAAUAACCUCAUUUCAUAUGUUUCCUCAAGAUAAAAAGAAUGUCAUAACAACAAAUGAGAAAAUAGUUGCUUUAGAAAUAUUGCACCCUAUGGAGAGAGUAUUUUGGAUUUUGGUUUUUUGUUUUGUUUUUUAACUUUUGUUUUAGGUUUGGGGGUACAUAUGCAGGUUUGUUAUAUAGGUAAACUCAUGUCACAGGGGUUUGUUGUACAGAUAAUUUCCUCACCCAGGUACUAAGCCUAGUACCCAAUAGUUGCUUUUUCUCCUCCUCUCUCUCCUCCCACCCUCCACCCUCAAAUAGGCCCCAGUGUAUGUUGUUCUCUUCAUUAUGUUCAUGAAGUUGAGAGAGUGUUUUGAAAAAGAAUGUUGGAAAGCAUUUCCACUGUUAGAUGAUUUUAAGUCAAAAAGUUAUACAACAGUGUGACCUAUUUGCACACAAGCAUGGACACAGAAUUGUGUCAUAUGUUUAAAACUUUUCUAGAUCCUUUUGUGGUUCAUAAGCUUGAUGAUUGAGUUUUCGCGUCCACAUGUGAGAUGUGCCUCCCUUGAGCCUUGUCAUUGGCACAUUACCUGCCUGAUGUGAACAAUAAAAAUAAAAAAUAAAAAUUUGCUAAGCAG
RNAcentral lists this long non-coding RNA (1822 nucleotides) under Homo sapiens (human). Its description in RNAcentral is "ELOVL2 antisense RNA 1". The stretch from base 1686 to 1784 matches the Rfam family "Small nucleolar RNA U13". Lineage: Eukaryota; Metazoa; Chordata; Mammalia; Primates; Hominidae. The record is from RNAcentral.